RNAcentral lists this ribosomal RNA (480 nucleotides) under uncultured bacterium. RNAcentral describes it as "partial 16S ribosomal RNA". It matches the Rfam family "Bacterial small subunit ribosomal RNA", at positions 28 to 506 of the family's 1533-position model. The record is from RNAcentral.
GACGAACGUUGGCGGCGUGCUUAAUACAUGCAAGUCAACUGAAGCAGUGGUAGCAAUAUCGCUGUGGAGGUGGCGCACGGGUGAGUAACACGUAGGUAAUCUGCCUUCAGGUCUGGCAUAACUCCGGGAAACCGGGGCUAAUAGCAGAUGAUGCAGCGGCUCGACAUCGAGACAGUUGUUAAAGCUAUGGCGCCUGAAGAUGAGCCUGCGUCUGAUUAGCUAGUUGGCGGGGUGACGGCCCACCAAGGCAACGAUCAGUAGCUGGUCUGAGAGGAUGAUCAGCCACACUGGAACUGAGACACGGUCCAGACUCCUACGGGAGGCAGCAGUAAGGAAUAUUGCUCAAUGGGAGAAAUCCUGAAGCAGCAACGCCGCGUGAGGGACGAAGGGCUUUUGCUUGUAAACCUCUGUAGUGAGAGAAAAAAAUCCCAAUCUUUGGGACAUGAUGGUAUCUCAAAAGUAAGCCCCGGCUAACUACGU